CCGGCAGCAAUCUGUUUGAGUUUCCACCAGGUGCCCACGUGUUCACCCUCCAACGUUGAUCCACACGAGGACUCGAUCAACUCUCUAGCACUUAUUAGAAAAUACUCUAUAAUUAAAUUCUGAUUUAUCAAAAUUUAAAUGCAAUUUGGGCAGAACCUCCUUUCUUGGGUUUGCUGUCACACUGUUGGACCUUUUCUUCCCUUUCUUUCUUGCUCCUUGUCUCCUUAAUUUUUAUUCCAAUUCUCUAAGCCUUUUGGAAGAUUUCUUAUCCUUUAUCAGGACCUUAUCUAGGCUAGAGAGAAGGAAUAAAGAAAAUUGGACAAGCAGAGCCUCUUGUAAGAAAGAAAGAAGAUUUCUGAAUACCCGAGACUCCUCGAUGUGCACCCCUAUUUAUAUUGCACGUAAAGGUGCAAUCCAAAACAUCUCAUGCCCUCUUACAAAUUAUCUCAUGCCUCUU
This 457-nucleotide long non-coding RNA is filed under the name Elaeis guineensis (African oil palm). RNAcentral describes it as "long non-coding RNA (EGUI_LNC082298)". The record is from RNAcentral. Lineage: Eukaryota; Viridiplantae; Streptophyta; Magnoliopsida; Arecales; Arecaceae.